UAGGAACCCUUGGGGUUCAAGGAGGUCUGUGCCACCAAAUUUGACUAAAACAAGGUUCUUAAAGGGAGCAGAGCUAAAGCAAGAUGGAAUUAUCUCUUAAUUAUUUUAGAACCCACCCCUCCAGUUUUACAGGAGUUUCCAGUUAGUCUGGGGGAUUGAUGGAAACACAGAAAGCCAUAUUCCUUGUGGGUCACAUGAAGCCGCUCCUAUUUUCUUGUUCAGUACAAAUACUAGACUGAAGGCAAGCGUGAGGGCCAGGAAGAGCACCGUCGUCUCUGUGUCCUUGCAUCGGGUAACUCUGUUUACAUUAAGUCUGUAAGCUUUGAGUGACAGCUCAGAUAGGAGCUUGGAGAACCGAGUCAACUCUGUUUCUCACGGCACAUGGUAGCUGUUUGUAAAUGCUUGACAUUCAGAGGGCCCGAGUUCCUCUGUUGUUUUUGAUCUCUGUCAUCAAAGAUGAAGUUGAAUAUUUUUUCAAGGCAGUCUGUACAAUAGCUUAGUGCCUCCUUCCAGAACAAAGGCAAGUGGUCACACCCAGAGUUGCUCCUUGCAGAGCCUCUGGGGUCCUGGAAUGUGUGUCCCCUGGACUCUGCCACAGUUGACUAGCUACAGUGACAGUUGCUACAGUCAGGGCUAUGUCCGUUAAUUAGGAACUUGAUAAUGAGGCUAACAAGAUUCAUCCGAAAGAGGCCAGGAAAAUGAAAAGGCUGUGCUUGUGUGCUGGAACUAUGAAUAGAGAAAGAAUCGGUGUCAUUUGGAUUAUUUUUUAAGACAUUGAAAUGUUACAUCUUAUGCUGUGCUUUCUUGUUUAAUGAGAAGUUUUAUAAAAAAAAACCAACAACCUUAUUCUAUAUAUUUUGGCUCAAAUAAUCUUAUAUUUGUGGGAAUUUAAAACUCAGUAUAGGUUUUAUUGCUUCCUUUCCAUGCAUAAACGAAGAGUAGACACACUCUCUUACUUUUCUGCUACCUUUACGUUCAGUCUGUGUGUCUUAGCCAGGCAGUAUUCAGUUGAAUUCUAUGGAACCAAUGUAAUGACAUAUUUCUUCUCUCAAUAGGAAAAAAAAAACCCACUAGAUUCUUUAAGAAAAAAAAAAAGUUCCCACGGAAGUUAUUGUUCAAAUGAAAGAGAACUGCUUCUUUAGAUUUGAAUAGACAUUUUUGUCUGAUGAAGAACUACUAAAUACAUGCUCAAUGUGCCUAGGAAUUAGGGAAGUACUAAUUAAGAACAUGCUAUGACAGUGCCAUAACACAAGACGAUGACGAUACUCACAACACCAAAUCUUCCUGAGACUGGGACGUGCUAGACUUUUUCACAGCGAGGUUGCAAU
Molecule: long non-coding RNA, 1328 nt
Filed under: Mus musculus (house mouse)
Lineage: Eukaryota; Metazoa; Chordata; Mammalia; Rodentia; Muridae
Description: long non-coding RNA chr12:73679166-73680494
Source: RNAcentral